RNAcentral lists this ribosomal RNA (253 nucleotides) under uncultured bacterium. RNAcentral's name for it is "partial 16S ribosomal RNA". It matches the Rfam family "Bacterial small subunit ribosomal RNA", at positions 524 to 776 of the family's 1533-position model. The record is from RNAcentral.
UACGGGGGGGGCAAGCGUUGUUCGGAAUUACUGGGCGUAAAGGGCUCGUAGGUGGCCAACUAAGUCAGACGUGAAAUCCCCAGGCUCAACUUGGGAACUGCGUCUGAUACUGGAUGGCUUGAAUUCGGGAGAGGGAUGCAGAAUUCCAGGUGUAGCGGUGAAAUGAGUAGAUAUCUGGAGGAAUACCGGUGGCGAAGGCGGCAUCCUGGACCGAGAUUGACACUGAUGAGCGAAAGCUAGGGGAGCAAACGGG